CCUUAGAGUUUUAUCCUGGCUCAGGAUGAACGCUAGCUACAGGCUUAACACAUGCAAGUCGAGGGGCAGCAUUUUUAUAGCAAUAUAAAAGAUGGCGACCGGCGCACGGGUGAGUAACACGUAUCCAACCUGCCGAUAACUCGGGGAUAACCCUUCGAAAGAAGGCCUAAUACCCGAUGGCAUAUCCCUUCCGCCUGGUUGAGAUAUUAAAGAACUUCGGUUAUCGAUGGGGAUGCGUUCCAUUAGCUUGUUGGCGGGGUAACGGCCCACCAAACCGACGAUGGAUAGGGGUUCUGAGAGGAAGGUCCCCCACAUUGGUACUGAGACACGGACCAAACUCCUACGGGAGGCAGCAGUGAGGAAUAUUGGUCAAUGGCCGAGAGGCUGAACCAGCCAAGUCGCGUGAAGGAAGAAGGAUCUAUGGUUUGUAAACUUCUUUUAUAGGGGAAUAAAGUGGAGGACGUGUCCUUUUUUGUAUGUACCCUAUGAAUAAGCAUCGGCUAACUCCGUGCCAGCAGCCGCGGUAAUACGGAGGAUGCGAGCGUUAUCCGGAUUUAUUGGGUUUAAAGGGUGCGUAGGUGGUGAUUUAAGUCAGCGGUGAAAGUUUGUGGCUCAACCAUAAAAUUGCCGUUGAAACUGGGUUACUUGAGUGUGUUUGAGGUAGGCGGAAUGCGUGGUGUAGCGGUGAAAUGCAUAGAUAUCACGCAGAACUCCGAUUGCGAAGGCAGCUUACUAAACCAUAACUGACACUGAAGCACGAAAGCGUGGGGAUCAAACAGGAUUAGAUACCCUGGUAGUCCACGCAGUAAAC
This 811-nucleotide ribosomal RNA is filed under the name uncultured bacterium. Its description in RNAcentral is "bacterial SSU rRNA". It matches the Rfam family "Bacterial small subunit ribosomal RNA", at positions 1 to 807 of the family's 1533-position model. The record is from RNAcentral.